Molecule: long non-coding RNA, 812 nt
Organism: Strongylocentrotus purpuratus (purple sea urchin)
Lineage: Eukaryota; Metazoa; Echinodermata; Echinoidea; Camarodonta; Strongylocentrotidae
Exons: 4
Source: RefSeq, a predicted model, not a curated record
UUUUGGAUCAUCUUUUUUUAUAGUUUUAUCAUCGCUUUUACAUCUUUAAUUUGUUCUUUGGAAAAGGUUUAUUUCAAAUCAUCAUAGCUUUAUUUUUUCAUCAAGUCAUGGUAACAGGCGUGUACGCUGGUGGAAUGCAUCCAACACGCAUCCUCAAUUUUUAUUAACGCGCAGCGCAACCAGUCAGCUGUUUCCAAAGACGUUUAAAUAUAAUUACUAGACGGAAAGCAGCACGCGCGGAAACCAUGCAGACGAAUGUGAUUAGGCUCCGCCUCUUUUGGAUCAUUUGAAGACAAAAUAAGCACCCGAGGCGGCUUUUUGAUUGGAUAUGAGCCUCAUGAAUAUGUAUUUUAUCGAUAGUAUCGUUUAAGAAACCGGAUAAUAUAUUUGACCUCAUUGCGUCACUUUAAUUAUGCAGAUUUAUGCACGACGCAGGCUACUCGCACAAACUGAGAAGAUUUAGUUCAUUGAGAAUGGAUGGAAACUGAUGAAGAGCUGGAAGGAGCUAACUGAUGAGUAGACAUUACAACAUUUCUUAUAUUUUCAAGAUGAAGCUGAAAGUCCCAUGCAGGAUGAUGCUUCUCUACAGUGGAUGAUGAAAGCAUGCUGAUUACAAACCCAGGAGAGGAAUAAAGAACAGAUAUUGACAGAAUCAUAUCUAGAGAUGUGGGCCUACUGCACUUCAUACAAGCAAGUGUGCUAAUAUACCAUACUUGGGUUAUCAUCACAGCUCUUUCUUCUGAAAACUAGCCUACAACUUCAUCGAUGAAUGCAGAAGACAUCUACUUGGGACUACGUCUUAAAGAUGCCCC